AUUGAACGCUGGCGGCAGGCCUAACACAUGCAAGUCGAACGGUAACAGGAAGAAGCUUGCUUCUUUGCUGACGAGUGGCGGACGGGUGAGUAAUGUCUGGGAAACUGCCUGAUGGAGGGGGAUAACUACUGGAAACGGUAGCUAAUACCGCAUAACGUCGCAAGACCAAAGAGGGGGACCUUCGGGCCUCUUGCCAUCGGAUGUGCCCAGAUGGGACUAGCUAGUAGGUGGGGUAACGGCUCACCUAGGCGACGAUCCCUAGCUGGUCUGAGAGGAUGACCAGCCACACUGGAACUGAGACACGGUCCAGAUUCCUACGGGAGGCAGCAGUGGGGAAUAUUGCACAAUGGGCGCAAGCCUGAUGCAGCCAUGCCGCGUGUAUGAAGAAGGCCUUCGGGUUGUAAAGUACUUUCAGCGGGGAGGAAGGGAGUAAAGUUAAUACCUUUGCUCAUUGACGUUACCCGCAGAAGAAGCACCGGCUAACUCCGUG
Molecule: ribosomal RNA, 490 nt
Filed under: uncultured bacterium
Lineage: Bacteria
Description: partial 16S ribosomal RNA
Rfam family: Bacterial small subunit ribosomal RNA
Source: RNAcentral